Molecule: long non-coding RNA, 4113 nt
Filed under: Sus scrofa (pig)
Lineage: Eukaryota; Metazoa; Chordata; Mammalia; Artiodactyla; Suidae
Description: lncRNA (ENSSSCG00025034011.1)
Source: RNAcentral
ACCCCACCACCCUCUGCCUCCGCGGAGACACUGCAGGGGCCCAGGCAUCGGAGACAUCCCUCGCGGCGUGGGCACCAGGCCCAGGCGCCCAGGGGAGUCGGGCCCGGGAAGGGGGUGGGGAAGGGCAGAGAAGGGGGUAUCAGGAAGAGGGGUGCUGGGAAGAGGGCUCCCCUCGCCAGCGGCAACCCCCACCCCCCGCCCCGUAUUGCCGCGCACUCAGAGCCGCGCCAAGGGCGCCCCUCAACCCCGAAGCACAGGCACGUUUCAGAGGAAAGAAAGAAAAAAGUUUCGACUGGCUCGAAUUUCUGGAAGCUAGAGCAUUUUUGGCCCCAAACACCGGCAGAGAACCCCUCUGAGCGCUGCCCCGGCCUCGCCGUUACCCAUUUUCGGUUUGGUUUUGGAAGAACCGGUUCCUCGGCCCCGCGUCGCCGAAGUUGUGACCCGAGUGCCGGGCUGUUGGAACCCUUUGAAGCAGUGUGUAGCUAAUAGCCCAUAUAUAAUUCAGAAGAAGAAAUCUUCAAUGGAAGACCCCCGGGGGAUAAAUGGACAGUCUGAAUUGGAAAUGCUAACAACAGUUUUUGCUGAGAUGCUGGAUUUUGCAAGAAAACCAUGAACUAAAAUAUCCAAGCUUUUGUACAGAAGUUGUGGGUAUUUGCCGACUCCAUUUCCUGACUUGUCACUCAUUCCAGAUGCUAAGAGUUUCUAGCUGUGGUUACCAGUGGACUUCAUAUUGCAAAUCCCGUGGACACUUUUCAGACCUUAACUUACCUGAUCACUUUGCUGUAUGACCUUGAGGAUCCCUGGCACCAUGAUGGAAUAGAAAUUUAUUCCAGUCUUUAAAAUAUGGCAGGUCUAGGUUUGAAUCCCAACGGUCUUAAUUCCAGAGUGACCUUGAGCAAGAUAUUUUGCCUUUUGGGGUUGUUUAGUUUUCUUGACUGGAAUAUGAGUUCAGUAUAAAGUUGACUAGUUUUGGGGAUUAUGGAAAAUGUGUACAGGUUAGCACAGUUCCUGGCAUGGACUAGCUGUCUGUACAGUACUGUUCCCUUCUUAAACCCUUGUCCCAUAAUCUAUCAAUUCUUCCACUUCUCUGAUGAUUCUUCAUGUGUCUUAGGUCAUGGUGUGGCUCUAGGCUUCCAUGUUUGGCUCUUUUUCUUCUCAUUAUACACUCACCCUAAAUGUUUUCUACUGCUCUCCUGCUUUAACCACAACUUGGUUUCUACAAAUUUUCAAAAGUAUAUUUCCAGGAGUUUCCAUCAUGGCUCAGCAGAAACAAAUCUGACUAGUAUCCAUGAGGAUGCAGGUUCGAUGCCUGGUCUCACUCAGUGGGUUAAGAAUCCAGCGUUGCCAUGAGCUGUGGUGUAGAUCACAGACGUGGCUCAGAUCUGGCAUUGCUGUGGCUCUGGUGUAGGAUAGUGGCUGCAUCUCUGAUUCAACCCCUAACCUGGGAACCUCCAUAUGCCGCCUCUGUGGCCCUAAAAAGCAAAAUCAAUCAAUCUAUCUAUCUAUCUAUCUAUCUAUCUAUCUAUCUAUCUAUCUAUCUAUCACAUCAUUUUCUUUGGUUGCCUAUUAGAUGAUAAGCUCUCUGAGGGCAGGGAACAUGCCUCAUUCAUUGUAUGCUCAGCACUUGGCACAAUUUGGACCAUAAGAUGUUUAUUGACAUGAAUUGAACUAACUCCCAUCUGCCUAAUAAAAUCCACAGCUAGAACCAUUUCACAAAGCUGUUAGUAAGAUGAUACUACAUGAUUUGAUUCAUCACGAAAAUUUCUGUAUACAGUUAUUUUUUUGACCCCUUAUAUCAGAUCAAAAAAUAGAAGGUUACAUCUCUUCCUUUUUAAAAUUCCUUAUCCUUGGCUUCUCGUCAACAUUGACUUAUGUUGACUUAAGCAGGCAAUUUCUUUUUCCAUAUUCAUUCAGUAGCUCUCUAACAUUCUAAUUAUGUUGAUAUCAUCUUAUUUUUUCCCUAAAUUUGCCUAGGACUUAGGUUAUAGCCAAGGAGGAAAACAGUCUUCCCUACUCAUCUGACUUUGGGGUCCACCAAUCUGCGUGUUGGCACAGAAAACUAAGUCAGCGAUUGUAAACUUAAGGCCCACAAAUGCUGAUUUCUCUAGAUAACGUUGGUCCACGCACUGCUUAAAAAAUUACUCUUAAUUGUAACAUUUAAAGAUUAGAAACUUUUGUGUGAAAAAAAAAAUACACAUUUCUGGCUUCUCUCAAAAACUCGGAAGAUCUAAUGACAGUGAAUCCCUAUUCCUUGCCUGACAACAACCCCCUUGGGGGUUAGCGAAUGAUGCAUUCUUGAGGACUUGCUCUGCACCCUGCCCUCUCCCCCUUCUUCUUACUCACAUACUGGUUCCUGAAGGCAUUGUAGUUUGCCACCUGUGUCAUAAGAAUGGACCCUGUUGCUGAACUUAGAUGCAUGGGAGUCUAAGAUUUGUGAGGCUCAGAGAUUCUGAAAAUGGUAAAAUUAAAGAAACUAAAGACAUGUGAUGGAAGAGUUCUCUUGUGGCCGAGGGGGUUCAGGAUCUGGUAUUGUCACUGUAGCCACUUGGGUUGCUGCUGUAGUGUGGGUUUGAUCCCUGGCCCAGGAACUUCCACGUGCUGUGGCAGUGGCCAAACAUAAAAAGUUUUUAAAAAAGAAGAAGUGUGAUGGAAUAAUUUGCCCUGAUUGAGAGAAUUAACGUAAUUGGAAAAAAGAACCAUCCUUUUUUUUUUUUUUUGCUUUUUAGGGUCGCACUUGUGGCACGUGGAAGUUCCCAGGCUAGGAUUUGAAUCAGAGCUGCAACCACCAGCCUACACCACACCACAGCAACAUGGGAUCCAAGCCAUGUCUGUGACCUACCACAGCUCAUGGCAACUCCAUAUCCUUAACCCACUGAGUGAGGCCAGGGAUCAAACCCACAUCCUUAUGGAUGCUAGUUGGGAUCAUACCCUGCUGAGCCACAAUAGGAAUUCCCAGAAACAUCUUUCUAAGAGGUGUGAGAGUAAUACAGUUUUCUCUUACAAAACCAAAGCAAGCAGGAGUGUGCUCUAUAGCUACCUAAAUGGUAAAGUUGGAUACAAAUUUUCAAAGCAUUAAAUGGGAAUUUAUCCACCUGAUCUCUAUUAAUAUUAAUAAGAACCACACUUCUCAGUGUUCUGAAUAUUCCUCUUAGGUGUUUCUCUAUGAAUAUUUAUGCAAUCAGAAAUAAACUGUACAGCCCAGUAUAACCCAGACAUAUUAUUCAAUUAUAGAAGAGUUUCCAAUUUUUCUAAAUUCCAUUUCAACUAUAUUCACUUAGAAGUAUUUUAUUUAUUUAUUUUUUGGCCAUGCCUGUGGCACAUGGAAGUUCCCAGGUCAGAGAUCGAACCCAUGCCACAGCAGUGACCUGAGCUGCUGCAGUGACAACAGUGGAUCCUUAACCCACUGAGCCACAAGGGAACUCACUAAAUGUCGCUUCUGACGCUCCCUCCUUGUCUUUAACCUCCCUGAACCUCAGUUUCUUCAUCCAUAGAACAGGUAUGUUUUCUGAUCUUUCUUGUUUCAGGAUUGUUGUGGCCUUUAAUGAGGUUGCAUGGGGGAAAGUACCUUAUGAAUAAAAUAAAGCAUAUGUAAAGUCAAGGUUUUGCUAUAUAGCUAGUAGCUACUGUAAUAGGUAAAAUGUUUUGAUGCUCAUUUUCUUAAUUCUUUUCUUCCCCUGUACCUACAUUUCUCCCAGUUUCUGUCUUCCGUGAUAACUUUCAUGAGAUUGACCUUAUUCUCUUAGGGUGAGAGGUUGUUCUUUCAUAGUGAGGCCUAGGUCCCUCUGCUUGAUCACUUGCGCAUGGCCUAGCUGCUGGAGAACAUGUUUCUAGUCACUCAUUUCAAUUAAAUAAUCAUUCUGAAUUUACUUCUUUAUUAGAAAAUAAGGGCUAGAGUUCACAUUGUGGCUCAGCAGUUGAGAACCUGACACAGUGUCCAUAAGGAUGCACGUUCGGUCCCUGGCCUUGCUCAGUGGGUUAAGGAUCCAGUUGCUGCAAGCUGCAGAUGUGGCUCAGAUCUGGCGCUGCUGUGGCUGUGGCUAUGGCCAGCUGCUGCAGCUCUGAUUUGACCUCUAGCCUGGGAAUUUCCAUAUGCCCCAGGUGUGCCUCCCCCCU